Molecule: long non-coding RNA, 1686 nt
Filed under: Homo sapiens (human)
Lineage: Eukaryota; Metazoa; Chordata; Mammalia; Primates; Hominidae
Description: HSALNT0344382
Source: RNAcentral
AACUUGAAGCCAAGACAGGAAGCAGGAAAGGGGCUUCCAGGUCACAGCACAAAGAGGCAAAGCAGAAGCAGCAGACAGGACGUCAAAGAACCAGUGCAUGGCUGCGCCGGGCCCCGGGGCUUCCCACACGGGUUACUGUCAUCCUUCCGAAUCACUGGACUUGAAGCCCAGCAUGUUGCUGAGUUUUGCUCCAGAGACAAUUGCCAUUUGUUAUUUAAGUGACAAAGGUAACGCAUGCCGGCGGGAAGCAAUGCACAAAAUGUGAAGUUAUAUGCAGAUUCAGAAGAGAAGGCUUCAGGCAAGUUCCUUCUCCAGCCCCUGCUCCCAUCUCUCUCUUCCCUGUUUCUCUGGCCCUUGCUCUCAUCUCUCUCUGCCCUGCUUGGAGGCAUCCAGCCUUCUUCACCACAGGGAACAUGGAGCUCAAAAGAUAACACACACCUUAAUGCUGUUGACAGCUGCCCCAGUGGCAAAGGGACAUGUUUUCAUCACCUACACCUUGUUUGGCCAGUUAGAGGGCUGUGUUUCUCAGAGUCAGGAAGUCCUGGGCCAGGUGGAGGAAAGAAAUGGCGCAGCCACCUCUGGCCUCCUCCUGCUCCUCCUGGAUCUGGGAGAUGGCGCCCAGCCAAGCCCUCCAUGCCCUGCCCGUGAGUGGGAUGUCUGACUGCUCUCACCGUCUCUCCUUCUCCCCUUAACCCCAGGCCCAACCCCUCCGGGCUCACUGCUUGUGGUUUUUCUGCUUAGGAAUUGGUCCCUGGGUGUAGCCCAGGCUUGUAGGGCCCCGUCCUCCCCAGCCCUGCUCCCCACUGUUCAGGGGCAGCCCCCCCACUCCUCCCACCUGCCGUGGCUCUUUGCUGCACCCUCCCUGGCCCAGUCUUGGCAUUCGCCCUUAUCAGUUCUCCGUCUUCUUUGAAGCUGAGACAGAGUAUUGUCCCCCACUUGCUUGCAGAUGCUAAGAUGGAGUUUAGAGCACAGGAUAUUGAUCAGGGACCCAUGCCUGGGAAAGGGGCAGAGAGAGAAGCCCAGCAAGAUGCACCCUGGCCCAGCCUCGGCACCCCCAGGGAGCCCUGGGCUGUGGGGCCUGUUAGAGUUGCUGCAGGUGGGCGGGAAGGGCUGGGCAUUCAUACCCCCCACAGCUGGUCCCGGGUAAGGUGACCAUCUGCAGCUGAGGCAGCCUGAAGGAGGGACAGCUGGAGGUAUCUGAGGCUGCUCUCCCAAUGCUGGAGGGCAGGGCCUUCCCUGGAGGGAUCCGAAGGGGCAUUUCCAUGCCCAGCUCAUACAGGAAGCUUAUUGGAGCCUCACAUCUGGAAAGCACUACAGACCGCACCGCAGACCGCACGACAGACCGCACCGCAGACCGCUCUACAGACCGGCACAUGCGCAACCCUGCCCGGCUGCUCUCCCUCCCUGCCUGGCUGCUCUCCCUCCCUGCCCAGCUGCUUUCUCUCCCUGCUGUGACCAGGCCAUUUUGGUGCAUUAUCUGUGCUCAGCGCUUUCCUCCUCUAUUUGAUGACUUUUCCAGGCAGUGGGCCUGGGGGUGAAGUCCCCUUGACCUUUGGGCUCCACCCAGGCACCUGGAGCCCCUGGGCUCUUCCCCUGCAGGGAACUGUUAGCAUCCUGCACUUUGCCCUCCUCCCAUCCUGCCCACGGGAGAUGCAGCGUGAACUCCUAGUCCUCAAAAAGGCUUAA